GACGAACGCUGGCGGCGUGCUUAACACAUGCCAGUCGAACGGAAAGGCCCUGCUUUUGUGGGGUGCUCGAGUGGCGAACGGGUGAGUAACACGUGAGUAACCUGCCCUUGACUUUGGGAUAACUUCAGGAAACUGGGGCUAAUACCGGAUAGGAGCUCCUGCUGCAUGGUGGGGGUUGGAAAGUUUCGGCGGUUGGGGAUGGACUCGCGGCUUAUCAGCUUGUUGGUGGGGUAGUGGCUUACCAAGGCUUUGACGGGUAGCCGGCCUGAGAGGGUGACCGGCCACAUUGGGACUGAGGUACGGCCCAGCCUCCUACGGGAGGCAGCAGUGGGGAAUAUUGCACAAUGGGCGGAAGCCUGAUGCAGCAACGCCGCGUGCGGGAUGACGGCCUUCGGGUUGUAAACCGCUUUCGCCUGUGACGAAGCGUGAGUGACGGUAAUGGGUAAAGAAGCACCGGCUAACUACGUG
This 468-nucleotide ribosomal RNA is filed under the name uncultured bacterium. RNAcentral describes it as "partial 16S ribosomal RNA". It matches the Rfam family "Bacterial small subunit ribosomal RNA", at positions 28 to 507 of the family's 1533-position model. The record is from RNAcentral.